This 438-nucleotide ribosomal RNA is filed under the name uncultured bacterium. RNAcentral's name for it is "partial 16S ribosomal RNA". It matches the Rfam family "Bacterial small subunit ribosomal RNA", at positions 339 to 795 of the family's 1533-position model. The record is from RNAcentral.
CUACGGGGUGCUCCAGUGAGGAAUAUUGCACAAUGGGGGAAACCCUGAUGCAGCAACGCCGCGUGGAGGAUGACGCAUUUCGGUGUGUAACUCCUUUUAUCAGAGAAGAAAAUGACGGUAUCUGAUGAAUAAGCUCCGGCUAACUCCGUGCCAGCAGCCGCGGUAAUACGGAGGGAGCAAGCGUUAUGCGGAAUCACUGGGCGUAAAGGACGCGUAGGCGGGUUUUUAAGUCAGGUGUGAAAUCCUAUGGCUCAACCAUAGAACUGCACUUGAAACUGGGGACCUAGAGUAUGGAAGGGGCAGGUGGAAUGAGUGGUGUAGGGGUAAAAUCCGUAGAUAUCACUAGGAAUACCGAAAGCGAAGGCGACCUGCUGGGACAUUACUGACGCUGAGGCGUGAAAGCGUGGGGAGCAAACAGGAUUAGAUACCCUUGUAGUC